UACGAAGGGGGCUAGCGUUGCUCGGAAUUACUGGGCGUAAAGCGCACGUAGGCGGCUUUCUAAGUCGGGGGUGAAAUCCUGGAGCUCAACUCCAGAACUGCCUUCGAUACUGGAGAGCUUGAGUCCGGGAGAGGUGAGUGGAACUCCGAGUGUAGAGGUGAAAUUCGUAGAUAUUCGGAAGAACACCAGUGGCGAAGGCGGCUCACUGGCCCGGUACUGACGCUGAUGUGCGAAAGCGUGGGGAGCAAACAGG
This 253-nucleotide ribosomal RNA is filed under the name uncultured bacterium. RNAcentral's name for it is "partial 16S ribosomal RNA". It matches the Rfam family "Bacterial small subunit ribosomal RNA", at positions 524 to 776 of the family's 1533-position model. The record is from RNAcentral.